RNAcentral lists this ribosomal RNA (407 nucleotides) under uncultured bacterium. Its description in RNAcentral is "partial 16S ribosomal RNA". It matches the Rfam family "Bacterial small subunit ribosomal RNA", at positions 30 to 526 of the family's 1533-position model. The record is from RNAcentral.
AUUGAACGCUGGCGGCAGGCCUAACACAUGCAAGUCGAGCGGAGCGGCGGACGGGUGAGUAAUGCCUAGGAAUCUGCCUGGUAGUGGGGGAUAACGUCGGGAAACGGGCGCUAAUACCGCAUACUAUCAGAUCAGCCUAGGUCGGAUUAGCUAGUUGGUGGGGUAAAGGCCUACCAAGGCGACGAGCCGUAACUGGUCUGAGAGGAUGACCAGUCACCCUGGGACUGAGACACGGCCCAGACUCCUACGGGAGGCAGCAGUGGGGAAUUUUGGACAAUGGGGGAAAUCCUGAUCCAGCCAUGCCGCGUGUGUGAAGAAGGUCUUCGGAUUGUAAAGCACUUUAAGUAGGGAGGCGUUACCAACAGAAUAAGCACCGGCUAACUACGUGCCAGCAGCCGCGGUAAUAC